CAUCAUUAAAGGUCCACGUGAAUAUUAAAAAAAAUUAAAAACUAAAAAAUUAAAAAACUUAAGAAAAUAAAAAAAAAUUGAGCGAUGAUGCAGCCUGCUGCUAUCCUUCUUUCUCUUCUCUCCCUCAAAUCUCAUAUCCCCAGCAACCCUUGCCCUCGCGACCUCGUAACCGUCGCCCUUCAUCUCGCUGCCACUAGCAAUGGGUGGGCGGAGAUCGAUUCGGCCACCAACGGAGGAAUUGAAAGGGAAAAUAAAGCGUGCCCGAUGAUAAGCCUAUCGAUCCGAUUUGCUCCGAAGAAUUAGAAUUCUUUGUCCAUGGAGUUUGCCCAUUUUAUUUUUUCCAAAUCCAAUUUCCAUCGUGCGUUUUCCUUUGCCCUUAAAAAAAAAUGCAGAAAUUUGGGAACGAAGGUGAAGGCAGAGAAAUCCCGCUCAUCUCUUCACUCCAAGGCCAAAUCCCACUCAUUGGAUUUUCAUCUCUUCUACCUUAAUCCAAGCCGCGGUGGAGCUGGGCAAAGCCGAAGGCAUGCCAGACUCACCAGUCCAGAUCCCAACCAUUUCUUUUCUGCCUGAACCACCCAGCCAACCCCGAACCACCAGGACCCGCACUCGACCCGUCGCAAGCUCGCGCCUGCCUGACCACCCGCUGCAACCCGCCAGAACCACAAAAUUGCAUCCCCGUCGCACCCAGAUCGGCAGAAGAACUAAUUGCAGAAGAGUGAAAAAGGGACGGGGGAGAGGAAGCAACUAUCCCCACCUUUUUCUAUUUUUUUUUAUUUUUUUAAUGUUUCUUAAAUUUAUUAAUUUUUUAAGUUUUUUAAAUUUUAGUUUUUUUUUGUAAUUUUCACGUGGAUCUUUAAUGAUGCGUGUGACGUUCAAUCAUUAUUCACAUGAACAUAAUGUUACCAGUUAACAGAUGACAUAACAGACAACUUAACGAAUAUAUAAGACUAUCUGAAAAUUAAGACUUGAUGUAUGACUUUGAAAUAAAAAAAAUAUUUAUGUACCAAAUAUUGAAAAUUACGAAAUUUUAAGUUAAUAAACUGAGAUUAAUCUUUAUAUAAAAUAUGCAAAUAAUUAUUAGAUAUUGGCAAACCACAGUAAUUUUAUUUAUUUAUUUUUUUAAGCAAGCAAAUGGACUGGGAAAUAUACUGCUUUCGAAUGCAUCUGUUGAUCACAGUUAAGGAUGAACUUUAACAUUUCGAAAGAGAGAGCCAGCUAGCUAGCAGUUGAUCUCCUGUAUUUUAUAGGUGUAUAUCAUAUGGAGAGACAGGGAGAGAGAGAGAGAGAGAGCCGACCUGCUGUUGAAGCAGGAGGAGGAGCUGAAGCAGAAGCAAUAAAAAAACUGGAAGGAAGAGAUCAGAGAUGGCGGCUGCUUCGCCCACUAGUUCUGAAAUUCAUCCCCUCUCUCUCUCCUCUCUCUUUUUCCUAAUAAGAGCCAAUGAGAAUGAAAAGGAUAAUUCCCACCAUGGCACCGUGGGAGUAGUGUACAUAUAUGGACCUGGAUUGUUUGUCUUUCUAUCCUUUUCUAUUUCUGUGAUCACAUGUUAACAUUUUAUAUUAAAUUUUUUAUAGAAAUAAUAAAUCACGUCAAUAUUUUAUAUUAAUUUUUUUUUAUAGAAAUAAUAAGACAAAAAAAAUGAAAAUAUAAAAUGUUAACAUGUCUUAAUGGUGAUCACAGAAAUAGGAGAGAAUAAGAAUAAUAUGGAAUGAGGAGGGCAAACAAUCAAGGUCCCAUAUAUAUAUAAUGGCAUAAUCAAGGUUCUAAAAAACGUUAGGCACUAGUCAGGUUGUGGGAUGGUGCCUAGCGCCUAGGUUGCUAGGUAAGCGGCCUAGGCGGAUUUAGGUAAAUUUCUUAUAUUUUAUAUAAAUUAAUUAAACUUACUAUAUUAGGUGUAAAUAAUUAUUGAAUAAUAUGUUAUUUCUUAUAGAAGAACAUACACAUGUGAAUGUUUUAUGUACAUAUAUAAUAUGCUUGCCUAGGAAAAAAAACAAAAUAUUAUCUAAAUUAACAUUUAUAUACAUAUAAUAUAGAUAUACACCCCAAACUUUUAAAAUAUAAAAACCCACACAAGUAGGUGGUUUUCAUGAUAAAACCAUCUUACCCUUUAUAAUAUAUAACUUUUAAAAAUAUCAAAAGCUCACGCAAGUGAGGUGGUUUUCAUGAUUACAACUAGACUUGUAAACGGAUAACGUGUUAGAGAUUUUAAUAAUAAAGAUAUAAAUUAUUAUUAUAUAUAUAUAUAUAUAUAUAUAUAUAUAUAUAUAUUGGUGCAGUGCACCAGCAAUGUUUGACAGAUGAUGGGAUUGGAUCAUUGACCCAACAAUCACACCCUUUGUUAAUAAACGCUGCACCUUUCUGUGUUUUGGCGAAAAGGUGUGAUGUAACCGAAUGCAUUUUUGCAUCAGACAAACAUUGUUGCAAUGUUCAGUUGUAUCUCAUGAUGAGAGGAUACACCCAAAACCAAAGGAUAUGUCUAAAGGUGCAAUUCUCUCUAUAUAUAUUGGUAAUAUUAGUAGAAAAGAUUCAUUAAUUCAGAAAUUAGUUAUCUACAUAAUUUCUUUGUUCUCUUUUCUCUCAUCAUCACAUUCAUACAAUUUCUUUCUAGUUAUUUCUAAGGGAAUAUAAUUCGGUUUUGCUAAUCGAAUAUUUCAUACUUUGUUGUAUCCUGGAAGUGAUUUGCCAAGAACCCUUUAGCAAACUCAUUCGAGUGGGGGCAAAUAACACUUUAAGGAAACGAUUCAAGUCGUACCUCAAAGUCAUUAUUCGGAUUAUUCUCCAUAUUUCUAUAUUUAAUCUAACAUAACGGGUCAUCCGAACCCAACCCGUUAAGCUUAACAGGUCACCCGAAUCCAACUCAUUAAACUAAUGAAUCACCUGUUUUAACCCGUUUCACCCGUUAACUACCAUUGAAUUGAAAACCAAAGAUGUCUUUUUUGGAAGUGGAGACCGCAAAGCGAUGAAUCCAAGACGAUGUGAUUGUCUUGCACAUGCCACCAUUGAAUUUGAAUCCUCUCUUCCUCCUUCUCCAUACCUACAAAAAUAAAUUCAGAAAUUAAAUAUAAAAAAAUAAAAACAAAAACUGGCAUCUUCCCAAAUGAAACCCGAAGUGAAAAAUCGAAAUUUUAACAGUUGAAGGAAGCUUACAAUGAGACGUUUCCAUGUAAAUUACAUAACUUUGAGUCUCAUAUCCAACUUGCACCACCACAAAUAUUUGACUUCUCUUCUAGCAAACAGAGAGGUAGACGGCGAGACUCGGGAAGACAAGAAGGUUGUGAGUCUUGCGACUGAAGUUUCUUUUCCAGGCUGCCCAGACCGCACAAUGUCCGUCGAGCCCGCCUAGCCCACCCAGGCGGCUGUCUUACAUCGCUUAAUGUCCUUGCCGAUUUAGUGAACGAUUUCUAGUUAAUUGUGGUGGAGCACCGCCGCCUAGAGCCUAGGUGGCCGCCUAGACCGCGUUUUAGAACACUGGGCAUAAUUGGUCGUCGAUGUCAGUCUGUCUAUUCUCCAAACUAGCAAUUUGUUUAUUCUUAAAAUGCAAACGACGCUUUUCUAUAAGGGCGAAAAGUUUGUUUAUGUAUUUUGACGUGAGUAAUGUUAAAGAAAUUAAAUUUAGAGGAAUAAUUUAUAAAUUAAAUGAUGUGUCAUCAAUACGAAUAAGCAUUUUUAUCAAUGCUUAAGUAAUAAACCAAUCAUAAAUUUCUAUGUCCUUUAAUUUCUAAAACAUACCUACAAAUUUAGUCUUGCUAACAUUAUUCUUUUGAUGUUGGUUUGAUUUCCACUGAUUUCUUUCUUUCAACAAUUAACAAUUUUAUCUACUUAGGCUUUGCCUAAUGUCCGCACAAUUUUACAACUUUCAACAUGCAUUUGCUUUGGGCUGGAUGAUUUUUCUUGACCAAACCAGGAUUAUAAUUCAACAUUAGCAUGAAUGAUUCACACCAUUACAUAUAUAGUCUUACGAGUUAAUGCACAUCGACUUAGGCUUUGCCUAAUGUCCACACAAUUUUACAACUUUCAAUAUGCAUUCGCUUUGGGCUGGACCACUUCUCUUGACCAAACCAAGAUUAUAAUUCAACAUUAGCAUACAUGGUUCACACCGUUUACAUAUAUAAUCUUACGUGUUAUUCUUGUCAAUUCUAAAAAUAACUUUUUGAAUUUUUCUCAACGACAAGAUAUUUGAUAAUGUGGAUGGCAUUAAAUUAUCUCGUAAUCAAAAGAUAACGAGUCAAUGGACAAAGUUGAGGAAUUGGGAGGUGGGCUCGUUUAAGAAAGAAAUCAAAAUUUAACUUUAAAAUGUCCAGUUUGUGAACAACUUGUAAUUUAUGAAAAAAAUUGUUAAAAUGAAGGAUCCUUUGAAUUAAUAUAAUAUUUUCAGUCGUCAUUUCGUUUCGAACUUUAGUUUGCAAAGGUAUAUACUUACAACAUGAUUUUUGUAAUUAUGUUUAGUCAUAAAGGGUUUGGUACACAAACAACAAAUGGUUGCCACAAUUCUAUAGAGGACACAAAUUUAGGCUAUUUUUUUCACUUCCAUAUUCAAUAUGUGCAUAAUGUUUGGUGUGAAGGACAUUUUGUACUUGUCUGUAAGGAACUAUGAAAAUGAAUAUUUCAAUUUACCAUAUACAAUUUUAAUCUCUUCCCAAGUGGUGGAUUGCCCUAGUAUAUAGGGUCUUUCUUUCAUUUCACUACAUCCCGAAUUCAAACCUCAUACUUUCUUUCAAGAGUAUUUUAGUUCUUUUUAUAGUUUACUGUAAAAAUAUCGUUUUUAUUCUUUUUUAUAGCCUUUUUCAUUUUAAAAAGUAUCUAAAUACUUGAGUAACCUGCACGCGUAGAUAGGUAGAUAGAUAAGAUAACGUUACGUAUAUGAAGAUACGUGCGAGAAUACACUGAUUGAGGAAAAACCUAGUUGUAUCCAAGAGACAUACAUGCAAGACUAGCUCAACUUAAACCGAAAAUAACUAGUCAAAACAUAAAACUAAGCUAGUUGGCCUCAUCACGUCUAACUAUUGGACCUACGACUUGUAAUUGUAUGAUGCUAGUCCUUUGAGGUCAGUAGAUCACCGCAAUGUGCCUUUUUUUGUACAUCCAAGUUUUAAUCCGUCUCUAUCAAGUCAAGGAAAAUUUAGGUAUGCUAAAUCAAAGUAAAUUUAAGUAUUUUUCACCAAAAAAGAGAAAGUAAGUAUAGGUAUUUGAAUUGAAUUUCUCCAAAUCAAGUAAAUCUUAAUAAAUGCCCCUUCUGUUUAGAGGAUUUCUCGCGUUGGAGCUGGAGCCCAAGUAGGAAAUUCCUGGUGCCCAAGCCUAGUUUCCACCUCUCUAACAAGCUUAAAAAUGAGUAAACAUGAUAUAAGUACGUACUAUAUACAUAUAUAUAUAUAUAUAUUAGCAUAUAUAUGAAUUUAGUAAACAUGAUAUAAGUACGUACUAUAUACAUAUAUAUAUAUAUAUAUAUUAGCAUAUAUAUGAAUUUAUAAAUGUAUGGAAGAUAAAAAAAAAAAUUUGAAUUAUUUUUAUAAAUGAUAGGUAGAUUACAUUUUGUAGAAAAUUUUAUUAUGUUUCGGUGCAUAAUAUUUGCUAGACAAUAGAUGAUUAGGAUCGUUGUUUUUUUUAUUUGGUCAAAAGUCUGAAGAAAUCGACGGUGUAAGAAUUGGUGCAUAUAAUCGAAAAUCCUAAUCAUAUAUAUAUAUUUUAUGAGGAAACCUAAUCAUAUGAAUAUAUUGUUCGACAAAAAAAAAAUAAUAUGAAUAUAUUGAGGAAACCUAACCCUUGCCUACAAUCUCGUGCCAAUUUCCGCUCCUUUGGACAUAUCCUAGACCUUCCCUGCAUUCUCUCGCAGGUUCUACGGGGCGAAGCUCACUUGAAAUUUACUGGGAGGACGAGGGAGGAGCCGGAUUCAAACGGAAUGGUGAAGGUAAAGGAAAAGGACGCCAAGUCAAAGGCAAGCGAAUUGUUGUUGAGGAGGAAGGAUGGGCAAAUACUUAUUGGUUAUGGAUAACCGCGGUUAUCCGUCCAUUUCAAUUAAACGGUUACGGUUAUGGGUAACCGUUUAGAUAAAUAAACGGUUAUGGGUAAAACCGUUUACCCGCCAAAUUUAAAUGGGCGGUUAUGGGUAUUAACCACGGUUAUAAACGGGUAACCAUUUACCCAUUUAUUUUAUAUAUGUAAAACUAACACAAACCAUGUUCUCGAUCCAAUAAUACUUAGCACCCAAUAAAUUAGCAAGGAAUUCAUCGGUCCUUCUCUCAAUAACACUACUACAGGAAUGAUGAUUCUCAUCAUCAAGGAAUUGGCCAAAUUAAUUUAAAUUCUUUGCGGAUAACCGUGAAAUUGACAGAAAUGUCUUUUAAACAAUUUUUGUAACCCAAUAAUACUUAGCAAAUAUUAUAUUUACCUUCAUUGGUAACAGUUAAAAAUAUCGUCCGUAAACUAUUAUUUCAAUUAUUGGAAUUGUAUAAGGACUUAAAAAUUAAAAUAUGGAAAUGUAUGAUGAAUCUACCUAUAACGGUGUUUAAUUGUCAAAAAAAAAUUAUGACAAUUUUUUUUUUAAUUUUCAAGUUGUUAAAAAACAUGUAGACGGGUAGAAAAAGGGUAAUGGUAAAAAAAAAAGAUAAACGGGUUAAAAAUGAUAAAUGGGUAAACGGGUAUUAAACGGUUACGGUUAAAUGGGUAUGCGGUUAUGGGUAUGGGUAUAACAGUUUAGGCAAUUACCCAACGGGUAAACGGUUAUGCGGAUAUGAGCAUAAACGGUUAUGGGUAAAUUAACCGCGGUUAUCCGUUCGCAUAACCAUUGCCCAUCCCUCGGAGGAAGGGGAUCCACACAGCCAACAAGGCGACUCAGAGAUAAGAGCGCGACGCUGAUUGCCGCUUCUUGCACGACUGUGUUUCAGAUAUUUUCGCCCAGUGCCUCAAGUCUGAUAUUGAAAAAUUUCAUCAUCACAAGGAUCAUGACCAUGACCAUCAUGAUGAUUACUACUUGGAGAUUACCCAAGCGGCUACCUCUUUGCCUACCACCGCUGAUCAUCAUAUGAUGUUCAAAAACAUUGCAAGGAAGGUUUUCCCGCCAGAAUCAUGCCGCCGAGAAGGGGAUGGUAGUGUUUGUUAUAUUGACCGACUGAGGAAGGAGGUUUUGUCGCCCUUGAGAAAAACUUGUUGGAAAUUAUAUAUUAUAAUAUGAAAUAUUGUAAUAUAUAAUUUUAAUAAUUGAAUGAAAAAUAGUGUUAACCAAUUUCUUAGAAAUGUUAUGUUGUUUAACUGAUAUUCCCUUGAUAAGUGAUGUCUAUUUAUAGAUGAAAAGUUACAUCUCUUUAAUAAGUAGAAGUUGGAUUCUAUAUAAACCCAUGAAAUCAUUGGUAUUAUAUAUAGAAAAUUAGAGUUAAUUUUUACUCUUGAGAAAUAGGGUUUCCCCAAUUUUUUUCUCUCAUGCUUCGUGUCUCAAAUUCCGAGUCGUGUCUUGAGAGUACGGAAUAUAUAAAGUUCGCCAGAGUCCGAAGAUUGAAGUGCUUUGACUUCGAAUUAUAGAUUGUUGAAUCUUGGAAGAUUGACGCCUACCGAACUACAAGCACAAUAGUAGGGACGAAAUUCUAUCUUUAGAACAUUGCAUUUAUGUAAGCCUCAAUCUCCAAGUUUGUCAGUUAUUCUAACUUUCACUCUAGUUGUUUAUAUUAAUCUCAUAUAUAAUUGAUGUUAUGAAUUUCUUUAUGAUUAUUAUCAUUGGAAUUAUAUUCCUAUUUUUCAUAUUUUCUAAUAUUGCUCCAACAAAAAUAUGACGCCAGAGGGCUGGGAACCUGCCAACCGGUGGGGUUAUAGAGCGGAGUACAAGCGAAAGCAACUAGCUGCAGCAAAUGAGAUUGAUCCUGGAGAUGCCGCGCUGCUUCCGCAUGACAUAUUAAGCUAUGUCAUGUAUCCCGAGCUCGAGCAAGAUGCUGAUGUUAAGUGGAAGAAAAUGGUGAAGGUCUACUUAAAGCAGGGGAAGCUGAAGAAUUGGUUGGCUGUGUGUGAUGUCGACAACUCCUUGUCGGCGGGUUUGGCUUUGGGGCUUUUGUUGCCUCAAUUGAGUGACGAGCUAUGAAGCAUGGAUACGGAUACGGAUACGGCGAUACGAUACGACACGACACGGCGAUACGGAAAAUCUCUAAAAAUUAAGAUACGAUACGCUAUGGAUACGGCAAAUAAAAAUCUAUAUAGCAACAAAAAUAUACAUUUUAAAACAUAAUUCAUCAUUCAAAUUCAAGUACAUUUUGAGUUGUUAGAGAAGGAAAGUUCAAAAUCUAAUCCUCUUUAUACAGUAGAAGAAGUGUGAGAAUCGUAUUCAUGGUUUUAAUUAGAGGGAAGCUCUUUGUAUUUAGCAACUUUCAAUUAUAGAUGUCUCCUAUUAAUUUUCUCCUCCUCAUUACCUUUUUUUGAAAGUGUAAAUGUAUUUUAAAAGCAGGAUACGUGUAUCCUGAAUGUAGGAUACGCAUAUCCAUUAUGUCAAAUUCGUGUCCAUCAACCAGGAUACGUGUCGGACGAGUAUCCGAGAGUAUCGGGCAAGUAUCGUAUCCGAUCAAGUAUCGGAUACGGGAUACGGGACCAAACAGAAGUAUCCGUGCAUCAUAGGUGACGAGCCAGUAAAAAGAUACUUACAAGCUUUUCAUUUAAUUUCUUCAAAGCAUCAAAGUCGAUUUUUGAACUCAGCCUCUGCAAGAAAAAAGAAUGCCAUGUAAAUAAUUGUUGGAUAAGAUAUAAGUUGCAUCAUGCUGGAGGAAUAAUACUUAAACGAAGUAUAUCCAUCAGCUAAUUCCCUUACCUCCUUGUUAUUUAUCACAGUAGAAACUUUGGCGGUUUUUUCUGCAGGUGGAGCUUUCUUGGCUUUUCUGGCUCGUUUUCUGCUCUUUCUCUGCCAAAAUUAUCCAUUGUAUGUAGAAAAUUAGAAAUCGAUAAGUAAGGCUCAAUGCUGGCAGUAAAACAAAGACAGAUAAACAAAAGGGAAAAACUAAAUAAUAAAUCAAAUGCAGAUAAGAUUAAAAAAUAUUAAAAAUGGAUACUUUAGAUGCGGUCCUUAAUCUUUAACAUUCUUUGACUAAAACCUUAAUGGUAUUCAAAGUUUGAUCAAAGUACCUUGACUUUGUACACCUCAUUAUAUUACAAUUAAUAUUUAUAUUUUUAUAGUUUUGACAUUAAUUGUUUGAUAUUUUAUGAGAUUUAUAAUCCUAUAAAUUUAAAAUCCCUCAUUAUAAUACUAUUAUAAACAGUUAUAAUAAAAAAAAUUCAAACAUUUUGAUUGAAUAAAUAGAUAAAACUAUGUAUAAAUAAUAAAUGGCAAAAGAAUGUAUCCAUAGUGUUAAAAAAAUUGGUACAUUUCACAUAUAACAAAGUGGUACAUUAAUAAAGAAGAAUGGGUACAUUAUAAAUAAAUUAGGGUACAUAUAAAAGAUUAAAAAAUUAUGAGUACAAAUGACUUUUUAAAAAAUAUAGGCGCUAAAAUAAAUUAAUACACGGGUACAAAAUAAAACUAAAAAGAAAAUACUACAAAUUUAAAAAAAAUGUUGCAAAUUAAAAGUGGGUACAACCUAAAAAUAUAAAUAUAUAAUACAAAGUUUAGGCAUAAAACAUAAAUAUACCAUAUGUAAUUUUUCUAUCAUUGAUUAAAUAUACAAUGUCACGUGACGGUAUACACAUAGGUACAAACACAAAUAAAAUUUUUAAAAAUAUGGGCACAAAAAGAAACUAAUAUAGGGUACAAAUUAAAAAUGAAAAAAUUUUUGUACAAAUUAAAAAUAGGCACAAACUAAAAAUAAAAAUAUAUGAUAAAAAAUUUAGCCAUAAAUAUAAAUAUACUAAUUGUAACAUUUUUAACACUAAAGGAAUAUAUUUAAAAAUAAAAAUAUUUUAUUAUUCAAAUAAUUAAUAAUGUUAUUAAUACCCAAUGACCUUGAUCAAAAAUUGAAAAUGAAUAAGAUUUUAAUCAAUAGAGUAACAAAAAGAAGGAUGUGAACCUAAUUUCUCCUAUUAAAAAUGUUAACCAUCACCCAAAUACUAAUUUGUAAGCAGGUGUGACACCAAUAACAGUUGAGAAUUUAGGCACAAAAUGGUGAAUAAGCUGAAUGAAUCUUCCAAGCAUACACUUUAGAGAACAAUGCACGCAUGACAGUUUGGAAACAUGCAAGGAUAAACUCAAAUAAAGUAAAUAUUGGGAUGAACCACGAGAAAUUUUUCUAAGUACCUGUCACACAAGCUGACUAGGAGUCCCUUACUAAUAAGCAACUGACACCUAUCCUUCUACUUCUCAAGUGACACUAAAAUACCCAUUUUACCCUUAUAUACAUUUCACAAAAUAAUUAAAUAAUUAAAAAAAAUUGAAGUUGUGGGGUGAGCUCCAACGCUUUCCUGCAAAUCGAAAGUACCCAUUUUUCCAUCGCCCAUCCCCAUAUCCCAUCCCUUUAUCCCUCCACGGCUUCACCAGUCCACCCAUCCUGCCCUUCCGCAUCACCUCUCUCCCUAUCUCUUUCUUUCUCUCUCUCUUCCCCUUUGUAUUUCUUCUAUUUCCUGCUCCAGAAUAAGAACAAAAAAAAUGUCGGCGAACUCCGGCUGAUAGAUCGAGAUUGGCGACAACAGAUCUGAGUUGGAGUCGCCGCCGACAAUCUCUGGGUUCCAUGUAGAGUUAAGAGCGGAAGAGAGAAGGGAAAGGAAAGAAAGAGAAGGUCGAACAGAGAGAAGGAUGAUGAUGCCAGAAAAAUCACCGACCGGUGAUGGAGGUGGGUGCGAGUGGUUCGGCGUCGUCAUGCUCGGGGGCCCCUGAUGUCAUUUUGACUUUAUUUUAAAAUAAUUGUCAAUUUUUAAAUAUAAAAGAAUAAAAUAUACAGAUGUCAAAUGCUUAUUAGUAGAAUUCCAGGUCAGCAUAUGUGACAGGUACCUGGAAAAAUUUCUCAUAAACCACAUAGCUAAGCUAGCCAUACUGAAGGGUAAGGCUAUUCCGUGAUACAAUGAAUAAAUUCAAGGUUUUGGUUAGAAGGUCCUACUUUGAAAGGAAUGAUUUUACUGCAACGAAAUGCAUAAAAAGUGCAAGCAAGACACCAGUUCCAAGAAAUGUGCUCUAUCAUAACUGAAAUUGCCUAUUUAAUGGGGCUUAAGGAUUCAAAAUUUGUUGUUUUACGUGCUUAGGAUCUUAAAAGAAGUAUUCUUCGUAGAUUAGCCAUAGUUUUAAAGAUUAGGACUAAAAACAAGUUAAAUGUCUGGAAGACAAAGGGAUUGUUGCAAAUUUCAGUUAGCAGCAUGCUUUUUGAAUUUGGGGGCUAAAAGUUUGAGAAACCAGAAAGAAAAAAAAAGGUCAAAGAUUAGGGCUUUUGAAUCAAGCACGAAAAGAGGGAGAGCACAAAAGUUCUAGAAAGAGAGAAUUGAGUUAAGAACUUCCAAAAAAUCAUUGAGCUAAAGAGUAAAGGAAGAAUGAAGAGGCAAAGAGUGGAAGGAAGAAAACCAGAAACCCAUACAAGGAAAAUGUAUACCAGUACGGUCAUGAUCAAGUGCAAAAUCCCCUCAAUCGUUCACUCUGAACAGUCAUGGCCAUAGAAAAAAAAAGACGAAAAAUAAGAACAAAACCAUCGAAUAAACAGAAACUACGAAAUUGCCUAACAUUGCACCAAAUCCUUGUGAAAACAAAUGUCAAAAUAUAAACUUGCAAAGGCAUUACCUGAUCGUAGUUCUUGUUAAGUACUUCCCAAAUUAAUCUUUUAAACCGUGCCGCCUCCUUGCUGUUAAGGUAUCCAGCAACCUAAAAAAUAGAAGCAUGAGUUCUUCCAUAUCGAAAUUCACAAACGAAAAAUAGAAGCAACAAUCACAUACGAAUCCAAAUCACUAUACGGCCUACCGAGUAGGCUAUGAUGGAAGUGUUCUCUGAUGGAGAGGUGGGUGUAUCCUUCAGGAUCUCUGCUUUUAUCUUUCAUUAAAUCCCCCCCCCCCUAAUUAUCAGACACGGAAAAUGUGGUCGACUGUCAUGAACCAAGAACGGAACUUUUCACAAUAACUAUGACAUAAAAGUCCAACAACGUAGCAUGCAAAAUUAAUUCUUAUUAUCAUCGAAUAUUUUGGGCACCAACCUUAAAUUUAUCAACUUAUGGAGAAUGGGCGGGCAGACACCAUUCCACGAAAACAAUUCAGAAAAUUGAAAAAAAAAUAAUAAGAAAGCAAUGCCUGCUUUAUCUGCAUACCUCGGAGUCGUCGAUAUCUGAGAGGCUUUCUGAGACAUCGCCAUCCGCAGUUGACAUUGCAGCUUCCCUCCUUCUUUUGUAAACUCUCGGAUCUUUUGAAUUUUAUGUAAUUUUAGGUCUUGGGUUUUCCAGUUUUCAUGGAACUAGAAUUUAUAUAGACAGUAAUGUCGGCGACCAAACAAGAACCGACCUAGUUCGGUUUCCCUUUUAGAACUGGAAUGGUGGAACCCAACCAUGCUGUUCUCAAAUCAAAUCAAAUCAAAUCAAGUUUUGGUUCUUAUUUUUUGAGUGGUGUAUGUUAGAUGUUAGAUUUGGAUCUAGUUUCUUUUUUUUACUGUUUAUUUUAAUGAAAAAAAAGGUAAUCACAGAAUAACAGUCCAAAAUCUACAGUGCUAGGCCCAAAAUAGUAUGGAAAAUAAACCAGGAAACUAGAAAAGCUCAGCUCAAUCUGAAAACCAUGUGGAUUUUUUUGGUAAACAAACCAUGUGGUAAACACAAACGGCAUGCAUUACAUUUACAUUGUAGAAACACAUUAUUAUUCCUAUUGUUGGAACCAAAUUCGAGCACAACCGUUGAUAUACGAAUAAUCAUUGGAAUCUCUUGAAUACCGAUAAAUAAGAGAAUUGUUUGAGGGAUAUAACCAAAUUCGAAAAUGAUUGCCUACAUAUUUCCUCGUCAAAGAGGGAGAAUCAAAUCGUGUAUAGUCCAUGCAUGAGUUGCAUGAGCAUGUAGAGAUGUAUUUGAGCAUUUAUGCUUUAGAUGAGAUAACAGAUAUGCGUUAUAUCUCUUUGGAUGGAAUCCUAGUAGCUUCGAUAUUUAGAGAUGAGAUCCUUCAACUCUUUGUCUUGCUUUGCAUGAAUGCUUAUGCACAUGUAAAGCAACAUAUCAAAGCCAAUAUUCUCAUGCUAUAAUCAUGCAAAUGUAAGGUGUAAAACAAUAAUUCAUUUAGCAAUCCAAACACACAAAGCGUCAUUCACGUCAAAUAAAAUGAUAAGAGUAAGAAUUAAAGUUAAGUAGGUAAAAGAUUAUCUUACCAUCAUAUUGUUCUCCUUAAAAUUUCAUUAUUUCAAUUUUAGCUCUUUCGUAUAUUUCUCCUUCCAUGUUCUUUAUUUUUAGUGUGGAUCAGAUUCAAAACCCUUUUACCCACACCUACUCACAUUUUUUUCCCCAUUAACCGACUCCCUCUCACCUUUCUUUUCAACUCUCUCCCAACCUUCCAAAACCUCUUUAUGUUCCUUCUUUUAUUCCAGUUCUUUCCCUUCCGGUAGGCUAUUCUCAUUAGGGAUGGGCAACGGUUAUUUACUCAUAACCGUUUAUACUUAUACCCGCAUAACCGUUUACCCGUUGGGUAAUUACCUAAACGAUUAUACCCAUACCCAUAACCGUUUAUAAACGGUUAAUCGUACCCAUAACCAUAUACCCAUUUAACCGUAAUCAUUUAAUACCCGUUUACCCAUUUAUCAUUUUUAACCCGUUUAUCUUUUUUUUUUUUGGUCUUUUGAUAUGAGUCCAAUUUUAUAAGCCUAUUUUGAAUGGAAUCCACUUGUAUUACAUAAGCAUAAGUGGGGGCUAGUAAGUACAACAAUAAUCCAUGUCAGCAAUUAAAAUGCACAUAAUUUACCAACAAAAUUACAACAACUGCCAUUAGAUGGUUUAUUAGGUGUCUUGCAGGUUAAACUCAUUGUUUAUUCAAAAGAUCCCAUUUAUUAGUACUCUUGCAGAUCAAACGUCCCCUUUAUCCUUAUCCUCCUAUCUUUCAAAUUUGUUUGCGUCCGUAUCCAGCGGAAACCGGGUUUUGAAUCCUAAAUCCGUAUGAAGCUAUGAAAGCUAUAAAUUUUCUCCCAGUAUAUGAUGGAAACAAAAUAGGCGAUUAUCUGGUUCGGGUUUCCUAUUAUACCUGGAGAACAGGUAGUGUAUCUUCUCGGAAGAUUUCAGCUUCGUACAUCGUAAUCUGGUUUUUUUUUUCGAAUAUUUUGAUUUGGUGAUUUGGGCUUUGUUUUUUGCAGUGUUCGUUACCUGGAUAACAGGUAUUACACUCCAUCGAUUUCAAUAUCAGUAUUUGAUAACAGGUGCUACCGUAUCUUUGCUCUAAAUUUCUUUUCUUUUCUUUUUUCACUUCAAUUGUUCGAGAUUUUAGAGUUUGACGACGAGUAUGAAUUGGUGGCCAGUGUUUACGACGCAUUAGUGAAGGCUUGCACUAGUUUGAAAUCGAUUAGGGGGGUUAAGAGGGUUUAUAAUUACAUAUUAGUAAUGGGUUUGAGUUGGAUCAGAAUACAAAAAACAGGGUGCUGCUUAUGCAUGUGAAAUGUGGGAUGAUGAUUGGUUGAAUUUGUUUCUCUAGUAUUUUGGUAUGCUGCUUUGACUUUUUACUUUUGUGGUGUUUGAUACCUAGAUUACAGGUACUAUAGUUCAUACCCUUUUUUUUUUUUGUUAAACAGUUAUGACUGUGGAGCUACUGUGAUGUAUAUUGCACAAAAAAAAGCUGAUGGAGAAUUAGUCGAAGGUGUCUCUUCGGCAGAGGCAAUGAAGAAUAUGAGAGCACAUGUCCUUUGUAGAUUCAUAAAUGAGGGAGAUGGUAGCUGGGAAAAGGAAGAGUAGGAUAAAGAUGUUAUGCGAAAUUUGAGUUUUUGUUUCAUAUAAGUGUUUCAAUUUAAUAAAUGAUGGGACUCCAAUCCAUCCGAAUUCAUUUUCUGCUAUAUAAGUUUGGAUGUUAUGUGAACUGAGAUAUGCUUUGUCAUAUCUGUUUUUUAAUUUCAAUUUCCAGUGAAAGGGGAUAUUCUUCAUAUUUUCCUUUAUUGAUUUCACAAUAAGAUUUGUUUGUAAUCUCAGAUAAUGUUAUUUUGUCAUUAUCUGGACAUACUUCGUCUGGUGUCAUUUCAAAUUGUACAAGGAUAGGUACUUUCAAAGUGUUGAUAAAACAUGGUUGUCAGUAAUUUUCCUACAUGUUAGGUAGUUUAAAACCGUUUGAAAAAGUAAUGUACCUGUACAACUAAUUGUGUCUUGAAAAAUAAUAUUCUACAAGGAUAGGUAGUUUAAAACCGUUUGAAAAAGUAAUGUACCUGUACAACUAAUUGUUAUCAAGAAAUCAGGAAGAAAGAUGAACUGAAUAAUGAAUUUGAAUUCUGAUAAAAAUUUAAAACGUGGGAAAUAUAUGGAGAACGUGCAAAAGUCAUAGGAGGGUAAAAUAGUAAUAAUAAUGCAAAAAAAUCAACUUAAUCAGAAAAAUUGCUGACAUGGAAUCCUAGUCAUUGGAGCUAAGUCAAAAGUAACUAAAAAUUGGACUAAUUCUAAUGUUGGGCUAUAAAAUUGGACUGAUUUCAAGUUUCCCCUUUUUUUUUACUAUUACUCCUUUUUCAUCCAUCUACAUAUUUUUUAACAACUUGAAAAUUAAAAAAAAAUUGUCAUAAUUUUUUUUUUUUGACAAUUAAACACCGUUAUAGGUACAUUCAUCAUACAUUUCCAUAUUUUAAUUUUUUAAGUCCUUAUACCAUUCCAAUAAUUAAAAUAAUAGUUUAUGGACGAUAUUUUUAACUGUUACCAAGGAAGGUAAAUAUAAUAUUUGCUAAGUAUUAUUGGGUUACAAAAAUUGGUUAGAAGAUAUUUAUGUCAAAGUAUUUCUGUCAAUUUCACGGUUACCCGCAAGGAAUUUAAAUUAAUUUGGCAAAUUCCUUGAUGAUGAGAAUCAUCAUUCCUGUAGCAGUGCUAUUGAGAGAAUGACCGAUGAAUUCCUUACUAAUUUAUUGGGUGCUAAGUAUUAUUAGAUCUAAAACAUGGUUUGUGUUAGUUUUACAUAUAUAAAAUAAAUGGGUAAACGGUUAUCCGUUUAUAACCGCGGUUAAUACCCAUAACCGCCCAUUUAAAUUUCGCGGGCCAUAACCGUUUAUUUAUCUAAACGGUUACCUAUAACCAUAACCGUUUAAUUUAAAUGGACGGGUAACCGCGAUUACCCAUAAUCAAUGGGUAUUUGCCCAUAUGUAAUUCUCACACCUUCACUUCCCACAAACACCCCCUUCUUUCUCUUAUCACAGAAUCACAGAUGACAAAUUACAAAACAACACUCUUCUCUCUCUCUCUCUCUCUCUCUCUCAGUUGUUUUCAUUUUUAUUCACUUGUUGCUCACACUCUUUUCUUUUCUUUUCCUUGCCUCUCACAACUCCCUCGACACCUCUCUCUCUUUCCUUCUUUUAUGCUUUUCUUCAACCCCUUAUCUUCUAUAAUAUAGCUGAAAAUUUGCAUUUGUAACAGGAGUAGAAUUGGUUAGCAACAUAAAAUGGAGAUGUAGGCCAAAGAGGCUGGCUGAGAAGGCCAGCUCAACCGUAUAUAAGCUGCUCAAACUGAUGUAUAGGCCAACAUACAGAUUAGGUUGUCGAGAUGUUUGGAUAUUUUAUAGAAGAGAUGAUAAGGAACAAUUUUUGUGAAAGAAGUGUUUUUGUUUGAUCACAGUAAAUUGGAUUUUUAAGCUCCAAACAUGACUCUAAGGUUUUCUGCAGAUUUUCAAGGCUGUCAUGGUAUUUUGAUAAUCUGGAAUGAAUGGACAGUUAGAUCUUUCUGAGACUUUGAUAUGUUAAGAUAGAGAGAAUAAGGAACAAUUUCUAUGAAGAAAGUAUUUUUGAUAUGAGCAAGAGAAAAUGUAGUUUCGAAGCUCACAACAGGCCUGACUGGUUGAUUGAUGAGUGCUGAGCAGUCACUGAUUAUACCUGAGUUUCUGCAGUUAUACAGCUCCUAUGGAUCUCAUAUUUGGAUAUGUUGUAUAUAACGAGUUAACAAACAACUUUCUUGAAGACGGCUUUUUGAUUUGAACUAUAGAAAAUGGUAAUUUGAUCUGCAAAACAGAUAUGACGAAUUUCUGGUUCUUGAAAUUCUUUCUCUUGAUAACUAGAAGAAGAGAGAUUUGUUGGUUAAGCUCUUAUGCAUUUUCUGGGAUUUGUAUGUGAUUUCUUUCUCAGGAUUCUCGUUGAAAAAUAGAGGGAUAUUUGGUGGUGCUUCACGGAGUUGGAUAAUGGUGUUUCACUAGAACUUGAUAACACAUUCACAUAAACACACAGUAUUGGAGUGGUUCGGCAAAGUGACUACAUACAUUGGGGUUUGCUUUCAUUUGUAUUUCACUAUAUAUGAGAGACUUACAAAUACAAUGAAAGAUGACUUAAAGCGUUUACAUAAGGUAAAAGAAAUGGAUGAUGAAAUAGGAAUGGUCUGAGAAAGAGAACAUUCUUUUUGCUAGUGUGUUCUUGCUGGUGUGGUGUUCUCCCUUUUUUUCCUCAUGUCCUUCUUCUAGUUCUUGCCCCUUCCUUUAUAGGGAUCAUAUGAGAUCUUCCUUCUCACAACAUGUACAAUCUAACUUGAGGAUAAAAGCUCCCUAGUGUCCCAAUAGAAAGACACCAAGUAUUGUGCACAUUAUUAGCCAUAAUAUGUGUUCGAAUAGCAAGACAAUUGUGUUAAACUAAUCAUUAAUAAUGAUAUGUGUUCCAAUAACAAAACAACAUGUGUUGAGCUAAUCAUGAACAAAAAAAUAUCAUGUAAGAUGGAUGCAUGUCUAAGGCCACUUACGUUAAAGUUUAUCUUAUGGUAAACUUGUUGUAACAAAACAUAUGGUAACUCUACAAAUUGGUAGGAUAUCCAGAUGAAUCGAUGAUGGUGAAUUAAAAGCUCCAAAACCCAUUGUUAUAAUCACACCUCAAACUAAAACCAAAAGAGUAGCAAAGUAUUUAGUUGCUAGUGGGACGCAAAUGAGAAAUACAAAGCCUAACAAAUCAAUCUACAAAUAAAGUGAAACAUAUAUGUAUUUGUUAACUAUUGAAAAAAAAGAACUUGGUAAAUCAAACUUUAGCGCAAAACACAAAUUAAAAGUACUUUGACACUUAUAUAUAUAUAUAUAUAUAUAUAUAUAUCCACUUUUUAAAAUACAGAGUAUUACACUUGUUUAAGUCCUUUCACGAUCUAGCUUAACAUACACGACAUUGUUCUCCUUUUAACUCCAAACAUGAACUUUCCCUUCCUAAAAACUUAGGCUUCAAAUCAUUUCAAUUGUUGCCUAAUUUUUUAGGGAGGAAAACUCAUAUUUGGAUCCAAAAGUAGAAAAUGUUAUGGAUGUUAGACCUGAAUCGUGAAAAGAUCGUAACUCUAUAACAAAUAUACUUUUGAUUUUGAAUUUGUUUUUGUAUUGCAUAUGGUUCAAUAUUAUUAAGUUUCCACCCAGGUGUCCCAGCUUCGGAAUUCUCCCCUUAUAAGUUAUUUAAAAAAAGGUAACAAAUUGAAAUUUGAAUAAAAGUUAAGGUGACAAAUAAAAAAUUUGCCUUUUCUUCUCUAUUCUGCAACUAGACCAUCAACAUCAAGGCUCAAUUUAUAGGAUUUGGAUCCUCUUUUGAGCAAAGGAGACGGAGCCUCCUAACCCAAAUACACAGACCGUUAGAUUUUGAUCAAACGACUACAAUUAUUUUAACUUUUAGAAAGGCCUCCUAUUUGUAACCGUUUGAUCAAAAUUCAACAGUCCGUGUCUUUAGGUCAUGAGGAUUCGUCUCCCUUACUCAGGAGAGGAUCCAAAUCCCAAUUUAUAGACCCAAAAAGGCCUUAUUAAAUUAUUUGAAUUCCCUGAACACAUUCUUAAAUUUUAGUGGUGGGAUCUUCAUCCAGUGGUGGUGGUUCAUGAACAUAUCUAUUAACCUUUUGUAUGAAUAAGUAGAAUAUACAUCCAUCUGCUAAGAUAUAUUCAAAUCUGGCAUGCCAGUCCCCUGCCCACUACCAAAAGCCAGAGCUAAAGUAUAAUUAUAAUUAAUUAUUAAAAUGUGUUAUAUAAAAGGAAAGGGUCCAAAACAAGUACAAGGGUGCACAAAGGGAUAAAAGGAGCAUGCAGAAAUCAUUUCCUAAUAUUUAUCACCUUCCUUUUCCUCUAAUGCCAGCGAGCAGUGAUUGAGUGACGUUUACAGGAGAAGAUGCAGGGUCAAUCCAGGAAGUGUUAGCACCACUUGCAUUGCUGCCUCCUGGCUGAUAGUUGAGGCGAACAUUACUAUCCCUGGAUGCAGUUGAUGGGGUAUCAUCCUCCACCAAAAAUCUACCUGUUGGCAAUGUUGUUACAUCUUUAAAAUCAUAAUCUGUCAAAUAGCUUGGCUUCAACAUGAUAGUGCCUAUGUCAAUGUCUCCAGAGAGCAUUGCAACCACGCGUGACAUAGAUGGCCUUGCCAUCGGUGAUCCCUGCGUGCACAGGAGAGCUGCUCUUAUCAAUCUAGUUGCUUCAGUUUCAUCAAACUCUGUCAAUCUUGGAUCCACCAGCCCCAGAGUUUGGUCAUUUUCAUGUAGAGUCCAUACCUGAAAAACAUUAUGCCACGGUCAAAGGAAAGUAUUAAGUUUUUCACAACACUUCCAAAAUGAAGCUAGGGGGAUGCAAUUCCUACCCAUUCAAGAAGAUAAAUCUUUUUUGGAUCCAAGUUAUUGUAAGAGUUUGGUCUCCCGCUAAGGAUCUCCAAAACAACGACUCCAAAACCAACACAUCGGCCUUCUCUGUCAAAUGUCCAAACAAUGCAUACUCCGGUGCCAAAUAGCCUCUGCAAUGCAAGAUAAUAAAAUGGUUGCACAAUGUUGCUUGAGAUCAUUAGAGGCAUUAUUAACAUGUGUUCAAAUUUCAUGCAAGUAUAAAUGUGUGUGGCCAUAAUAUAUGUAUCCUCUAGAAAAACAAUAAAGGAUGGCUAACAUUGUCCCUGCAACCCGGGUGCUGAUGUGGGUUUUCUCGUCAUCAUAAAGCUUUGCCAGUCCAAAAUCUGAUAUUUUUUGGGAGAGUUCUGCAUCGAGCAAAAUAUUACUCGCUUUGACAUCGCGAUGUACAAUCCUUGGCCUUGACUCCUCAUGAAGGUAAGCAAGUCCUCUUGCUGUUCCCAACAAUAUAUUGAAUCGAGUCGGCCAGUCAAGGUGCAAGUUACUUGUUCCUGAAAUAUUAGUGAACACAUCCAAUCAAAAACAUUUCUUAACAAUUUUAGAGUGCUUGAAACUGCAGACAAUGUUGUUUCUAUGCAACCUAAAAGUAGAUAGGUUUGUACCAAAAAGUGCUUGAUCAAGGCUCUUGUUUUCAAGAUACUCAUAAACCAAAAUGCGUUGGCUGCCUUCAAUGCAGCAUCCAUACAAUUUCACUAGAUUCCGAUGUUGCACAGCAGAUAUGGUAGAAAUUUCUGAUACAAAUUGACUCUUCCCUUGGUGAGAUGCUACUGAAAGUUGCUUCACAGCCACUACUCUCCCAUCAGAAAGUGUACCCUAUAAUGUACACAGAAACACAAUUUAGUGACAUGAAAGGAAAGAAAAAAGAAGCUUUAUUUUCUUCUCUCGCUCGCUUUCCCUUUCUCGUCAUUACUUCAAGUACAUGAUACUGAUGUAAUACGGAUUUCACCUUGUAAACAGGGCCAUAUCCUCCUUCUCCUAACUUAUUUGAAGGAUUAAAAUCUUCGGUUGCAACUCUCAACUCAGAAUAACUAAAAGUAUUUGGUCGAGGGCCUAAUCCUAGAAUAUCUGCACAUUCACGAAACAGUGUGACAUAAGUUUUACUUUUGUAAAAGCAUUCCUACUUCUGUGUGUUAAUGUCAAAGCAGAGAAACCUGAAUUGGAUACCACUAAUAAUAUGGUCGUUUACCUUCGUCAUCCUCUUUUUCUGAUUUUUUCCUCCUCAUAUAUAGAAUCGCAAAUAUUAAUAGCAAGCUCACAACUCCAACAGGAACUGCAAUACCAACUAUCAACCCAGUCCUGCUCUUCUUUCCUGGGGUAGUUGGUGGAAGCCCGGAAACUGUUGGUGUAAAAUCUGAGUGAUAAAACAGACGAAUUCUUCAGUGUCGAUUAACAGUAGAAAAAUAUAUUUAAACCAUUCACAAGAAAUCUCUACUAGUUAACACAAAUUAUACCUGAAGCAGCAUGGACAGCUGCUAUUAGUGAGCCGUAAUCACCUUGAUUGGGUAUGCAACAAGUCCCUUUACCAGCCCAGAACAGAUGAAUUUCAAGAUAAUUCUCUGACACGCUAACAUUGAAUCUUUUCAUAAUUCCUAGGUUAACCCCACCUGCCUCCUUGGAUAUGUCAAAGUCCUGCAUCCUGCAGAUACCCUAGCAACCAAAUGAAGAGCUAGGUCAUAAUUCUAGUCUCCUUUAAAUCAUGGAAGACUUUGGAUGCAGUCCAUAACUACCAAUGUUUUUUGACUGAAACCUUGAUAGUUUUUUGUUUUUUAUUAAAGUAGCUUAAACUAUCGAAAACCUGUCCAAUGAGUCUUUACUUCAAAUAAGAUAGAUUUUUUUUUUCCAUAAGCAGCCAUACCUGAAUAUAGAUGUCAAAUACACGCCGUCCUAGACUUUCCCAAGUUUGCUGAAUGCGCCUAUCAAAAACCGUCUCUGCAAAGUGCAAUGUUACAGUGUAAGGUCCAUUCUCAAGACCCAGGCCAUAGUAUCUCAGUGAUCCUGGGGACAAUCUUGAAGUCUGGAAAAGCUCUGGGGUCACAUCUGUUCCGGUGACUUGUGCAAGGGUAUUUUCCAGAAACGAUCGGUUCACUCCGUCAGAAAACAUACCGACAUUGCUGACAGCCCAUUUCUCUGUACUGGUUACAUUGAAUGUUGCUGGACCAAGAGCUGAGUCUUCGGCCUCAUACGAUAUGCCAUCACGUCCCUUCAUUUCCGGUCCACCACAGUUGAUUGAGAAGUUUGCAUCUGUAAGUUUCAUGUAAUACCAGAAUCUACCCAUGAUUAGCGAUGAAACUUCAAAUUGAAGACUCGUACUAAUGUUUUUCAGUCACAUAUUUGUGACCAGAGAAGCAAUCUAUAUCCAUAUGUAUACAUAACCAGAGAAGCAAUGCCUUCUCCUCUAACAUGACGUUGCGUUAAAACAGUAAAUGUUGGGUGACAUAAAAGCAGAUUACAUCGUGGGGCAUUUCGAUUGCAUGGAAAUUUUUUCUGGAGGCAAUUCAAUCCAGGAAGAGUAAUGCAAACACAGAGAACAAUUAUUAGUUAUCCAGAUAGAAACAUAUAGUGGAAGAGUAGUGAUAGUAUUGCUUGUCUAAAAACCGGCAACAGAAACUUCAACUCACGUUAUGUUUUUUUUGUCAAAUGUGAAGUUGUUGACCACUAAGUUCCUGCAUAAAAUCAUUAAUCAAUCAACAUGUGAAGAAAUAUAUCUCUGUCAAAUGAAAAUUCCAUGUACUCUCAAAACUUAAUAGGCAAGUAGCACUGUGAGAACGAAUCGCAGUGAUAUUUUUUGUCCCAACAUAUUCUGGGGAUUUAAACUGUAAAAUGAAGGUGAAAGAUAAAAGGUGAUGUACAGUUGCGAUAUUGUGGUCACCCACUGGGGAAAGCUACCUGAUAAAAAAUUGUAAGACAAAUCUCUGCAAAUAACAAAAUAGAAUCAUAAGACACAAAAUACAUGAAAGUUAUAAGAACUUGUGUAAGAUAAAGGAUUAGAAUGCUUAAAAAAUGCACAAACACAUACAUGCACGUGCAGACGCACGUACAAAGUACUGGUUUCAGUGUCAAUAGACUCAGUACAUUCUAUAUGACUACUUUUAAUACAUGAGGACUUACAUAGUUUGAAGUCGAUUGCUCUUUUGGCUCGGAAGAGGUCCGGACAGACUAUUGUUUCCAAGAAACCUGGCCAUUUCGAUUAUAGUAGAAGGCACCCAGAAAAGAAAAAGAGAUGAGCAAGAAAAAAGUCAGAUGUGCACAAAAUCUAGAAGGAUUAGUCCAGAUCUUCAAUCAAAGUAGGGAAUGUUAAAGAUUUGAUAACUUAUGUAGGCAAGCAAAAUAUAAUACUAAGGAUGGGGAUUACAAGGAUGUAAGAGAACUCAAGGUGAACAAAGAACUUGGGAGUUGGCCUAUCAAAUUGUUGAAACUCAGAUCCCUGCAACACCAACGAUAAGUUGAGAGGAGCAAUCAGAAUGAAAGAAAACUAAUUGGCCUCGUUGGGACUCAAGCUUAUAUGCGCUGGUACGUACAGUAUCUGUAGACUUUGAUAUUCUCCAAUAUCAGAUGGGAUGGUACCAGUGAUUAAUGCAUUUCGUAGUUUUCUGUUAUUCACAUCAAAUUUGAUAAAAAGUAGAUGGAGUAAGAUAUCAAAAGGAAAAAGGAAAAAGUUGGAUGAAAGUAUAUGGAUUAUGGAUCGACAAGAAUCUUCACUUACAAUUCAGUCAAGUUCUUCAUUUUUUUAAUGAAAUCAAGAGAGGAGCUCCCAUCGUAUAUAUCACUGAUAUGCCUACAUCAUUAUAUGCAAAAUAACUGAAAUCCCGUCUUCGGAGAAAGAGAAAGAAUUACAAUUUAUGAAGCAUUUGUACUUACAGAGAGUUCAAUGAGGUCAGCUGAGAAAAGCUGGUUGGUAUUGGGCCUUCCAAAGAGUUCCCUUGAAAUCACCUACGGAAACAUAUAAGAAGCUUGUGAACAAAUUAUCCAUCUCAGGUCUGCUUUCAUAAACUGCAUAAGAUCAAAAUUUUAUGUGGCUUACAAAGAAGUGAGUUGUGUCCAAUUCCCUAUGAAAUCAGGUAUCUUUCCUGAGAAAAGACUGUCCGUUGCCCAACUAAAAUUCAAAAAGUUGACUUAUAAUAAGCUCAUCCAAGAAAAGCAAUCUCAUAGUACUAGAUAAACGAACAAAUCUAAAAUACGAUUUAAGAGCCGUUCUUACAAGAUUUGCAUACUGGUGAGCUUGGCAAAUGUUGAAGGAAUUUCACCACUGAGUCCACAGCUGUCCAUGUAACUGUGAAAAUCUUAAGGCAACUGAUUAAUACCCAAUUUAUACAAUAAGGUGCAAUUUUUGCUUAUGCAUAAGGAACUAACAUGUAAUUCAAAUUUGAUGAUUUAACGAACCACUUACAUUUGCUGGAGCUUGACUAAAUUACCAAGUUCUGGAGGGAGUGUUCCGGAGAAAUUAUUUGAUCCGAUGGCCCUGCAAGUCAUGUUGAACAGGCAAACAAUUACUUGAAAGCAAUUAUUGAAGAGUGAUAGAAGGUUCUGUAUGUAAUGUUUAUGACACAAAAUUUUACUGUAGGCUUUCUCAUUUUUCAUGGCUUACAGCAUAUUUAGCUCCGUAAGGUUUCCAAGCUCCUUGGGGAUGGGCCCAGAGAAUGAAUUGUGGCCAAUUGACCUGAAUGGAGAUAUCAGUUAACUAAAGAUAAGCACCAUUACAUUACAAGAAACUAGGACUGCAUUAUUCAAUAAAAACAUAAUGGUUUUGUGUAGAUUACGGGGUACAUAAUAGAGAAAAUAUAUAAAGAACAUAACUGUAGAUUAUGAUAUUCAAAAUGAAGUAUACAAAUUGCGACGAGUCUCAUCAGAAGUAUGAGUACUUAAACAAAUUUUCUCUCACUACUUACAAUAUAAUCAAUGCAGACAUAUUGCCAAUGAAUCCCGGUAGGGGACCUUUGAAAUAAUUCAUAUCAAUUUUCCUACAAAAAUUGAAACGAAAUGUAAUCAUUAACCCUUAAUCUUACGACAUCACUAUAUUUUUAAUUUCCAAUUGAUAAUUUUGAUGAACCAAAAACAGAGAAGGGAAUUGGAAAAAAUUCAUACAAAACUGCGAGAUAUCUUAGAUCCAAAAAUUCUUCUGGAAACACCCCUCGUUUGUACAGAGCAUGCACUCUCCUGGAAAGCAAAAAGAUUGAACAUUUAGAACUUUAUAAAAUGGAGUGGCACAGUCAAAUUAUUGACUAAUAUAUAUAGGUAUAGCUAGCGAAAAAUCAGCAUUGGCAUAGAAAUCUUGUUCAUAAAGAGAGAGUAGUUUAACAUACAGUUUGGUGAUGUGGCAUGUAGUAUCGUUGUCAUAAGUACAGUCGCAAGCGAUGGCUGGGUUGUUAUCGGGGAUCUCAAAUUCGGUGCCGUUGAUGGCAGAUCCACUGCAGGGUUCUCCACUGGUAUUCCACAGUCCCGACACUGCUUGUGUGUCCCAUUGUUCAAAUAUUGAGUUCAACGCCCUCACUGCACACUCAGUUAAUUCAGUCCUUGUGUGUAUUAGAUUAUAUCACACCAUAAUUUGACUUGUGUUACCACUUACCAGACUAUCUCGAAUCAAAUGAGAGAUCAAAUUGAUUAUUACAAAGGAAAAUGUGGCAAAGUGUGUGUGUAGGGGGGGAGAGAGAGAGAGAGAGAGAGAGAGAGAGAGAGAGAACCUUCAGAUGGAUCAGUGGUAGCAUUUUUAGCAAAGGACAGCUGAAACCAGAAGCGGCUGAGGAAGCAGAGUAAUAGUAUCCUCAUCAUCAACUUCAUCUUCAUAUUGUAAAUGUGCAGAACUUGCUCUCCUCGACGGCGUGAAACUAAACGGCCAACCCUUAUAUUCCGACUGGCUGAAUCUUGCAUGUAAAAAGAAGACCAUAAGGCCUCGUUUGGCAGCUCAGACUGUACUGACUAUUUCAGUCGGAUAGGAUAAAUAAUCAUCGGAUAGUACUGAAUAAUUAGUCGGGCAUUUGGUGCUUUCCCGGAUAAAUCUGUACAUCGAAUAAUAUAUCGGAUUACAAUAAAUUUCUAAAAAAAAAAAAUCACCGAAUAACUAAUGUUAAAAUGGAAAAAAGGACCAAAGAAAAAAAUCCUCAUUGCACCGACAAAUUAAAAAACAAAACAUAAAAAAGGAAGGAAAGAAACCCAGGUUUCUCUCAUAGUUGUGUUAUCCUUUCUUCAUCAUCAUCCCCGCACAUCAAAUCUCACUCUCUCUGCCGAACCCAUUUCCUUAUUUCUUAAUCUCCCAAGACCCAAAUGGAUUCUCCGCACCAAAAUCAAUUUGUAAGAAAUAGACAAAUCAGCCAAUUUCAUAAGAGAGGGAAUAGAGAGCAAACAGAGAAAGGGAGCGGAAAAAAGGACGAAGAAGAAUGAAGGAUAACAUAUGAAUUUGAGAGGAAGAAGAAGAACAAGAACAACAUAUGGAGUUCGUUCUGGAUAGAGGAGAGAACGGAGAAGGCACAAAUUUAUUUGAGAGUGAAGAGACAACGCGAUUAAAUUUUCCUGGGCUUUUGAGUUUUGAACCUGUUAAAUUAUCCUUAGCUUUUGGAGUGUAUUAUUUAGCAGGUGUGAGCCGGACUAAAAAGUGGGCCCGGGAUAUAUAAUCGGCCGGCUAAUUAAUUCAAAACUGCACCAAACACCUGUCUCGCACUAUUAAUCCUAUCCGGAGUCUAAUACGGUGUCCCAAACGAGGCCUAAGAUUUUAGUCAUAUAUUGACAACGUGUGCGUAUAUACUUAAAUUUUGUCCAAGUUGUAGAUCAAUGGCGGCCAACACCUUUUUAAAUUUCCCACUUGGAGUUGGCUAAGGCUUUGAUCGUAUUAGUUGAAUUGUAUAUUGUCGUAUUAGACAUUGAGCUGCUUUAGUGUGGAAAUAUUUAUGUACAAUUCUAGAUUGUUAAUACUUUUCUGGUUGAAAAUAUCAAGGGAUUUAUGUACAAUUCUAGAUUGUUAAUACUUUUCUGGUGGAAAAUAUCAAAGGAUUGACUUACGGAUCAACAUUCUGACUCGGUCCACUACUAAUUAUGGAGAGGGAUUUUUAUCCAUAGCGAAAGAACAAAGGAUUAAUUCCCUGUUAGUUGGUGAUUUUGAUAUGACAUCUAACGAGGAUGUCAUCAUGACAAUAUCUUAAACUAAUCACAUUAUUAUGUAUAACAAAAUUGAAUUGUAACUUUGGUCUAAAAUGGGCGACUCUAAGCAAACAAGGAUUCCUGCUUUGGAAGGAUGGGAAAAGAACGUUCAUUAUAAGCAAAAAGACUGUUUUCACGACUCGAACCUGUAACAUUUCGGUCACAAAGAAGCAAAUUUUGCAUUGCACCAAAGCUCGCCCUGAAUUGUAGCUUUAGUCAAUAAUCUAAAAUUUUAUUAUAGCUAUACAUGUAUUCGACAAAAUAUGAAACACUGGUUAUUGACGCUAAUUCUAUGAGAAUUUUUAUUAAAAGGAGCAUACAUGCAAUUCUCUAAUUUACUCUUCUUAAAGGUAUUCCUCGGAAUUUUGGCCAAAAUUCUUAGCGCGAUAGACUAAUGCUUAACAUAUGUCAAACUUAAAUACUAUCUCUAAUAGAUCUUUAAUUUGCAUACUAAAACUACAAUCAAGUCAUAAUUCACAAAUUAGUCUAGUACAUUAAUUUCCUCCUUUUCAAUGUUAGGUAAAAAAAAAUACUGUUCAUAUCAAAGACUCAUACUCAUCCUCGCAAUCGUAUCAAUAAGUUCAUCUCUCUUAGCAUAAAAUAAAAUUGACAGGUUUUAUCAACCAGUUAUACGCAUUGGUUGGGAAAGGCAAGGGAGACACAUAUACUGCCUAAGUGGAAUCCGGAUCCUCACAGAGAUCUAUAAAUCGUGUUUGUUUAGCGUACUUCAUGUGGUCAAAAAUUAUUUUUAAUUUUUUAUUUAAAAUGAAAUACAUACAGCAUUUGACGAAAUUUAAUCAUAUAACGUACGAUAAACAGAUAUAAUUCACAUAUCUUCAAGAACCUCACGAGAAUCCAAAGAAUCAUGUUAGGCCUAAGUGGCCUUUGGUGUAUGACACGUAGGUUGCACAUGCAACGCGAUCAACUUGCGGAUCAACUUGCGGUCAGAGUUGACGAGUCUUCCAAAAUGUUCAAUAAGUUUUUUUUGGUAAAAAAAAAAAGUUCAAUAAGUUUAUUCAUGGAUAAGACAUUAUAUAAGGGAUUAAUCUCAAUUUAUUAUUAUAAAGUUUUAUGAUUUUUAAUAUUUGUUAUAUUAAAUUUUUUUUAUCCUAAAAUCAUACCUACUAAUUUCAUACUUCCGUUAAACUGAUUGUUAAGUCAUGUCAACAAUAUGUUACGCAUCAUUAAAGUCCACGUGAAUGUUAAAAAAAAUUAAAAACUAAAAAAUUAAAAAACUAAGAAAAAAAAAAAUUGAGCGAUGAUGCAGCCUGCUGGUAUCUUUCUUUCUCUUCUCUCCCUCAAAUCUCAUAUACCCAGCAACCCUUGCCCUCGCGACCUCGUAACCGUCGCCCUUCGUCUCGCUGCCACUAGCAAUGGGUGGGCGGAGAUCGAUUCGGCCACCAACGGAGGAAUUGAAAGGGAAAAUAAAGCGUGACCGAUGAUAAGCCUAUCGAUCCGAUUUGCUCCGAAGAAUUAGAAUUCUUUGUCCAUGGAGUUUGCCCAUUUUACUUUUUCCAAAUCCAAUUUCCAUCGUGCGUUUUCCUUUGCCCUUCAAAAAAAUUGCAGAAAUUUGGGAACGAAGGUGAAGGCAGAGAAAUCCCGCUCAUCUCUUCACUCCAAGGCCAAAUCCCACUCAUUAGAUUUUCAUCUCUUCUACCUUAAUCCAAGCCGCGGUGGAGCUGGGCAAAGCCGAAGGCAUGCCAGACUCACCAGUCCAGAUCCCAACCAUUUAUUUUCUGCCUGAACCACCCAGCCAACCCCGAACCACCAGGACCCGCACAUGUUGCUGCUCGACCCGUCGCAAGCUCGCGCCUGCCUGACCACCCGCCAGAACCACAAAAGUUGCACCUCCGUCGCACCCAGAUCGGCAGAAGAACUAAUUGCAGAAGAGUGAAAAAGGGACGGGGGAGAGGAAGCAACUAUCCCCACCUUUUUCUAUUUUUUUUUUUUUUAAUGUUUCUUAAAUUUAUUAAUUUUUUAAGUUUUUUAAAUGGGAAAAUUAGAAUCCCCUACAACUUUUUUAUAUCUUUUAGACUAAACAUUUGUGCCUUUUCAAAAUUUGAUUAAAGUGCUUUGACCAAUAGACACCUCACAAUUUUCUGUUAAAUUAAAUUACAUAUCAUUAUUGUAUUUUCUUAAAAUAAAAUGUUAAUUAUUAAUUUCUAAAUUAUCCUCUUAUGUUUUUAUGCGUUUUUCCCCUUAUUUAGUGGAGUAUUAGUUAUUAACUCUAUUAUCCCUUUUUCCAAUUAUAAUUUUUUGAUCAAAAUAAUUUUUUUGUUCUACAAACAUUAAUAUUAUCUAUUUUUGUCAAAUGGUUGGCGAUCCAACAAAGCACUGUGUAAUUUUUCCCCUUUUUUUUGUCAAACUAUUUUUCUUUGUUUUUUAUUUUUAUUUUUUUUAUUUUUACUUAUAGUUGUUGACAAACUAUUAUUAGGUACAACAUAUUAUGUGUAUACUGCCGUUAGGUACGUUUUAAUUUGUAAAAAACAUUGAUUGGUACGUUUAUUUGCAGUUUUGGUACGUUUGAUUUGGUACAUAUUGUUGAUAUUGGUACAUUACUUUUGAUUUUGGUACGUUUGAUUUCAUACACUUUAUUUAUUGGUACGUUUAUAUUGUUGUUAGUCCUAUUUUCUCUUAAUGUAUUGAUAUAAAAAAUUAUAUUGGUACAUUUGAUUUCGUGAGAUUUAAAAAUAUUUUCAACCCUUUUGGGAAUAAAAUAUUAAAUCGUAGAAAUCAUUGCUAAAUUGUAGGAAGUAUUGUGAAAAUAAAUUGUAUUUAACUAGGGUUUUUUUGUUUACAAUUAUCUCCAAAGGGGGAGAAGGUAAUCAAAAUGCUUGAUUAUAGGAAGUUUGUUCAAUACGCUGUGCACUUUUUUGGCGUGAGAUUAAGAAAUAUGGAGUAGUGGCAGGUCAUGUAAUUUUGGUAUAAAAAAUGAUUAAUUCUAAUAUAUGUGGCAACAAAAUGAUGAGAACAAGAGUUUAAUCAAAUCUCUAAAAGGCAUAG
RNAcentral lists this long non-coding RNA (29730 nucleotides) under Malus domestica (apple). Its description in RNAcentral is "long non-coding RNA (MDOM_LNC005289)". The record is from RNAcentral. Lineage: Eukaryota; Viridiplantae; Streptophyta; Magnoliopsida; Rosales; Rosaceae.